GAUAAAGAAGGGAAUUAAACCAAUGUGUACAGGACUACAGCCUGCCGCCUAACACUCGGCCACUUUACC
Molecule: transfer RNA, 69 nt
Filed under: Anolis fuscoauratus
Lineage: Eukaryota; Metazoa; Chordata; Lepidosauria; Squamata; Anolidae
Description: tRNA-Tyr
Source: RNAcentral